UCGCCUGUUUUUAACAAAAACAUGUCCUUUUGAUUAUAAUUUAAGGUCUGGUCUGCCCAAUGAUUGAUAUUUAAUGGCCGCGAUAUUUUGAUCGUGCGAAGGUAGCAUAAUCAUUAGCUUUUUAAUUGUAAGCUGGUAUGAAGGAUUGGACAAGAUACUAUCUGUCUCUAUUUUAAUAUUUGAAUUUUAUUUUUGAGUUAGAAAGCUUAAAUUUAAUUGUAAGACGAGAAGACCCUAUAGAGUUUAAUAUUUUACAUCUUUGAAUUAAUUAUGGGAUUAAAUUUUCAGAGUUUAUAAGUAUUUAGUUGGGGUGACGGAAAAAUUUAAUAAACUUUUUCUUUUUAGUAUAUUAAUUUAUAGAUUAUUGACUUAAAUGAUUAGUUAUAAGAAUAAAUUACCUUAGGGAUAACAGCGUAAUUCUUUUUAAGAGUUCAUAUCGAAAGAAGAGAUUGCGACCUCGAUGUUGGAUUAAAGUUAAAAAUUGGUGUAGAAGCUGAAUAUUUUAGUCUGUUCGACUAUUAAAACUUUACGUGAUCUGAGUUCAGACCGGA
Molecule: ribosomal RNA, 551 nt
Filed under: Agrilus planipennis (emerald ash borer)
Lineage: Eukaryota; Metazoa; Arthropoda; Insecta; Coleoptera; Buprestidae
Description: partial 16S ribosomal RNA
Rfam family: Archaeal large subunit ribosomal RNA
Source: RNAcentral